Molecule: transfer RNA, 90 nt
Filed under: Gracilariopsis tenuifrons
Lineage: Eukaryota; Rhodophyta; Florideophyceae; Gracilariales; Gracilariaceae
Also listed under: 1 other name
Description: tRNA-Ser
Rfam family: tRNA
About the family: Transfer RNA (tRNA) molecules are approximately 80 nucleotides in length.
Source: RNAcentral
GGAGAGGUGGCUGAGUGGUUGAAAGCGCCAGAUUGCUAAUCUGUUGUAUGAUUUAUUAUCAUACCGAGGGUUCGAAUCCCUUCCUCUCCU